Drosophila albomicans is the source of this 1266-nucleotide long non-coding RNA. RefSeq lists it as uncharacterized. The transcript has 3 exons. The record is from RefSeq and is a predicted model, not a curated record. NCBI's taxonomy places the organism in Eukaryota, Metazoa, Arthropoda, Insecta, Diptera, Drosophilidae.
AUUCAUUCGAAAACAAUAUUUUGUGCCGAUUACAUUGCUAGAAUAAUUUUAACAUUAAAAUUUUUUAAGUACCAACAAUUAGAUAUAGCCGUGUCCGUCUGUCUGUCAGAUAAAAGAUAAAAAGGACGAUAUCGAAGGUGACGAUGCGGGAUGUUUGAAAGUGAACUUGAACCCAAAAAAAAGAAGCACAAAAUCAAAAAAAAUAAAUUUUUUUUCUUUGCUUCUAAGUUGUAGUCAAAUCGCACAGAAUUUUUAAUUGCACCGAUGACACUUUUGACAAACAGAACGAGCUCUGACUAUUACCUUUAAAACGUACAUUACAUUGCAGUCUUUACAAAUACAUUUUGAUUUGGGGAUUAUGGGAGCAAAUAUAAUUAUUCAAAUUAGGAAGCUUUUUAAUCUGGACUGGCAAUCUCUCACUUUAACCUGAUAACACUAGGAUUCUUAACUGGAAUGCAACUGCAAAAAACGAAUAUGUUAAAUUGUCCGCAAACACAAAAGAAACAUCAUAAAAGCAAAGGAGAAGCUGCAGAUUGCGUUGCAAAUUUGAAUUUGAUAACAAAAAUACCUUCAAAAUCCAUUACCAAUAAUUUAAAUUUGGACAUCCACCCGCGCCCGCCGCGCCUCCUCCAUCUCCAGCCACGUCAGCAGAAUUGGCUUCAGUUUUAUCACGUUUUUGUGCGACAGCUCUAGGUUCUCCAAAUUAGAGAUUGUGGUCUGCGUCAGUGGUCUAACGCCAGGCAGCUCGGCCAGGGCCUUGCCCACAUAGUCUUGCGUGAGUUCUGCAAGAGGCGAAGUCGAAUGUCAAAUUGAUGGGCUAUCCUUGGCGAUUCAAUGCGAACUGACGUGGAACUGGGAAAGAUUGCGAUCCUAAGAUGAUGUGUCAAUACAUUUCUGUAUAAUGCAAAAGCAACUCAAACGGUCAACAGUUAUUUGCGAGCUCUGAUUUUGAUUCAUUCUGAAUAAAAAUUGAGCUUAAUCAGAAAGAGCUAUUUUUCAAGCUGUAAUCUGUUAGAUCAGAUGCGUACUAAGACUGAGGCGUCGCUCUUUGAAACGCAAAUAGUUCCAGAGCUAAAGGAGAAUUGUCCAUGUCAACAUGUAAAUUAGUCCUUGCGACAGCUGACGUGAUGAGAGGUUUUCGAUUUCGUAUUGGUGACGUGAUGAGAGGUCUCCGCCUUCGAUUUCGUAUUGGUCCUGCUCCAUUUCCGCAUAUAAAAUAGAUUUGCACUUAAAUCUACACGAUUAAAAAGCUAUACGAUUCCCGUC